CUAAAAAUAGCUUCCUCUGAUUCUCUGUGUCUUGUUAAAAUGUAGCCAAACUCAAGGUCUGGCUAACAGGUGGAAAAAAGUUUUAGAGGUACAAAGGAGUACCUCUUCUCCGUGUUGCAAACAAAACAGUGCCUCCCUUAAUUUUUCAGAACUGCGUUUCUGUCCUUUUGGAAGGGAGCUUUCUUCCCUUGGAAAGAAAAGAUGGCAUCUGCCACUGGGGAAGAGCCUUAUGCCCCAGCCCAAGGAAGGUGGAUUGGAAUUGGAAAGGUGGCUAGGUGAGAAUGGGGUCAGGGCAAAGGCAGAGGGACGACCUCAGAGGACAUUUCCUCACACGAGGGUUUGAGGACUGCAGGAUCCAAUCUUCUGCUGGUGUACAAAGUCCUUCUUGAUCUUCCCGUGGGCUACAGAUCCAGACCCACAUCCGGCUACCCGAACCUCGGGGGUUUCCUGACUGCUCGGCGUCCGUGCUGCCUUGCCCUUCCACAUGCAGCUCUCUCUGCUUUGCAUGCAUCACUGGUACCCCGAAAACAUACCCCACCUAGAUGAUAAAUUCACUGAAGGCAGAGACCACGUUUCAUCUUUGGGACCCCUUGUAACUAAGCAAGGGCUUGGCACAGGUUUGCUGAAUUAAGGACUGGAUUUCGUGGUGCCUUCUGUAAGCAUUAUCAGAACCUAGAGAUGAGGAAGAUCAUUACUGACUGGUGUGGUCUGGGAAGACUCCUAAAGGAAAGUCAGAUCCACAAUACCUAGUACAGUGCUGAACCACAAAACACAUUCGGGAAAUAUUUGUUGCCUGACCAAUUGAAGAACUGAAAAGAGGGCAGAAGGAAAUUCCAGAAGAGAAGUCACAGCAAGAGCAAAGGCAUGGAGGUGGGCGUGGCUGCAGCGUGUUCAGGGAAACAGCGUCAGCCUGGCUAAGAGUGAUGGUUUGGGUCAGGGCAGUUCAAAACUUGGCAGCUCGGGCACUUCAAGGCAUUUAUCCCAAUUCCUCUUCCCCAUUCGAGCACACCACCCCCUUCACUGCUUCUGAGGUUGGCUUGAUAUAAAUCUGAGUCUAGUUCAUGUUAAUGGACUUAACCCUCUAACUGGAAACUGUCUUUUCUGCGGAGCCCAUUAUGUUAGCUCUCUGGAGUAGAG
RNAcentral lists this long non-coding RNA (1137 nucleotides) under Equus caballus (horse). RNAcentral's name for it is "lncRNA (ENSECAG00000033514.3)". The record is from RNAcentral. Lineage: Eukaryota; Metazoa; Chordata; Mammalia; Perissodactyla; Equidae.